UACGUAGGGUGCAAGCGUUGUCCGGAAUUAUUGGGCGUAAAGAGCUCGUAGGCGGUCUGUUGCGUCGGCUGUGAAAACCCGGGGCUCAACCCCGGGCCUGCAGCCGAUACGGGCAGACUAGAGUUCGGCAGGGGAGACUGGAAUUCCUGGUGUAGCGGUGAAAUGCGCAGAUAUCAGGAGGAACACCGGUGGCGAAGGCGGGUCUCUGGGCCGAUACUGACGUGAGGAGCGAAAGCGUGGGGAGCGAACAGG
Molecule: ribosomal RNA, 252 nt
Filed under: uncultured bacterium
Lineage: Bacteria
Description: partial 16S ribosomal RNA
Rfam family: Bacterial small subunit ribosomal RNA
Source: RNAcentral